AAGAAAUUAGUUUAUUCAAAACGUUAAUUUGUCAAAUUAAAAAUAUUAGUAAUAUUUCUUA
Molecule: transfer RNA, 61 nt
Filed under: Molipteryx fuliginosa
Lineage: Eukaryota; Metazoa; Arthropoda; Insecta; Hemiptera; Coreidae
Also listed under: 2 other names
Description: tRNA-Asp
Source: RNAcentral